UGUUUAUCCACCCAUACAUUGGUUUUCUUUGUCUGAUUUAUCUUUGUUUUCUUUUUCAGGGCUCGUGCUUGGGCCAAGUAUUGUUGGCCAAAUAAGGACUGGUCCUCUUUAGAUUCUUUAAAGUCACUACAUAUUCAAAAUAAAGUAUUAUGUGGAAGACACUUUAACUCCUCUCAAUUCUAUGAUAGUGAAAGGCAAAAACUGAACAAAUUUGCUGUUCCUGAAUCUUCUGAAGUAGAAGAACUAUUAAGGGCUAGAGAAAUUAUUGUUGAGCAGGGUAUAAAACAAACUAUUACAGCAGGACAAUCAACGACAAGAACACCAUUGAAACAAAUCGAAAAUACAAUGGAACCUUCUACAUCAAGUCACAAAAGUUUUGUAGAAGUUCCAAGUACUUCCAGCAAGGAACAAUUUCAGUAUGCACCAAGACUGGUAUCUGCAUCAAAAAGUGCCACUGAAGAUCAUGCUUUGCCAUCUCAUCUCACACCGAAGAAAAAUCGUGGCAUUUUACAAACACUAAAUAUUACAAAAAUUAGUCAAAUGUCUACAAGAGAAGUAAAAUUAUACUAUGUGUGCCAAAAAAGAUUAAGGGAAAUAAUGAGACUUAGGAAACAAUUGAAAAAAAAGAAGAUGAAUAU
This is a long non-coding RNA of Melitaea cinxia (Glanville fritillary), 638 nucleotides long. RefSeq lists it as uncharacterized. The record is from RefSeq and is a predicted model, not a curated record. Lineage: Eukaryota; Metazoa; Arthropoda; Insecta; Lepidoptera; Nymphalidae. The transcript has 3 exons.